This 253-nucleotide ribosomal RNA is filed under the name uncultured bacterium. Its description in RNAcentral is "partial 16S ribosomal RNA". It matches the Rfam family "Bacterial small subunit ribosomal RNA", at positions 524 to 776 of the family's 1533-position model. The record is from RNAcentral.
UACGAAGGGGGCAAGCGUUGUUCGGAAUUACUGGGCAUAAAGGGUGCGUAGGUGGCUUGUUAAGUCAGGGGUGAAAGUUUUCGGCCCAACCGGAAAAUGGCCUUUGAUACUGGCGAGCUCGAGUGCGUGAGGGGUAACCGGAACGAGCAGUGUAGCGGUGAAAUGCGUAGAUAUUGCUCGGAAGGCCAACGGCGAAGGCAGGUUACUGGUGCGCAACUGACACUGAGGCACGAAAGCGUGGGGAGCAAACAGG